Molecule: ribosomal RNA, 596 nt
Filed under: Microbacterium sp. MYb54
Lineage: Bacteria; Bacillati; Actinomycetota; Actinomycetes; Micrococcales; Microbacteriaceae
Description: bacterial SSU rRNA
Rfam family: Bacterial small subunit ribosomal RNA
Source: RNAcentral
GUCGAACGGUGAAGCCAGCUUGCUGGGUGGAUCAGUGGCGAACGGGUGAGUAACACGUGAGCAACCUGCCCCUGACUCUGGGAUAAGCGCUGGAAACGGCGUCUAAUACUGGAUAUGUGACGUGACCGCAUGGUCUGCGUCUGGAAAGAAUUUCGGUUGGGGAUGGGCUCGCGGCCUAUCAGCUUGUUGGUGAGGUAAUGGCUCACCAAGGCGUCGACGGGUAGCCGGCCUGAGAGGGUGACCGGCCACACUGGGACUGAGACACGGCCCAGACUCCUACGGGAGGCAGCAGUGGGGAAUAUUGCACAAUGGGCGCAAGCCUGAUGCAGCAACGCCGCGUGAGGGACGACGGCCUUCGGGUUGUAAACCUCUUUUAGCAGGGAAGAAGCGAAAGUGACGGUACCUGCAGAAAAAGCGCCGGCUAACUACGUGCCAGCAGCCGCGGUAAUACGUAGGGCGCAAGCGUUAUCCGGAAUUAUUGGGCGUAAAGAGCUCGUAGGCGGUUUGUCGCGUCUGCUGUGAAAUCCGGAGGCUCAACCUCCGGCCUGCAGUGGGUACGGGCAGACUAGAGUGCGGUAGGGGAGAUUGGAAUUCCU